GACGAACGCUGGCGGCGUGCCUAAUACAUGCAAGUAGAACGCUGAAGGAGGAGCUUGCUUCUCUGGAUGAGUUGCGAACGGGUGAGUAACGCGUAGGUAACCUGCCUGGUAGCGGGGGAUAACUAUUGGAAACGAUAGCUAAUACCGCAUAAUAGCAGUUGUUGCAUGACAACUGUUUGAAAGGUGCAAUUGCACCACUACCAGAUGGACCUGCGUUGUAUUAGCUAGUUGGUGGGGUAACGGCUCACCAAGGCGACGAUACAUAGCCGACCUGAGAGGGUGAUCGGCCACACUGGGACUGAGACACGGCCCAGACUCCUACGGGAGGCGGCAGUAGGGAAUCUUCGGCAAUGGACGGAAGUCUGACCGAGCAACGCCGCGUGAGUGAAGAAGGUUUUCGGAUCGUAAAGCUCUGUUGUAAGAGAAGAACGAGUGUGAGAGUGGAAAGUUCACACUGUGACGGUAUCUUACCAGAAAGGGACGGCUAACUACGUG
Molecule: ribosomal RNA, 495 nt
Filed under: uncultured bacterium
Lineage: Bacteria
Description: partial 16S ribosomal RNA
Rfam family: Bacterial small subunit ribosomal RNA
Source: RNAcentral